CAAUGCUAAUUAAGUUUUAUGAUUUCAAGUUAUAGCUAGGUACCUAAUAUAUAUUGACACUCGAUUAGUAUGCCUCAGAACAUGAUUUGUAUCCAUCCAUACAUGGAACCAAAAUCAAAUGCAUUUAUAUAUUCUUAUGAAAAUUCUAUUACAAGAUUGGAAGGUCCAGAUUACAAAAAAAAAGAUGUAAAUCACUACUUAGAAGCAUCACCAGGGCAACUAUCUACGAAGUAGUUUUCCUCAGUGCUGACAUCCCCCUCGGUUUGUAUGGCUACGUCGAUGUUACUCACC
This 291-nucleotide long non-coding RNA is filed under the name Elaeis guineensis (African oil palm). RNAcentral's name for it is "long non-coding RNA (EGUI_LNC067215)". The record is from RNAcentral. Lineage: Eukaryota; Viridiplantae; Streptophyta; Magnoliopsida; Arecales; Arecaceae.